GGAGACUGGUGUUACCUGCAGGAAAGUUCAUGCGGUUAAUGGUUGAGGAAGCACGCCCUGACACAUGAAAGUUAUGUGUCAAUGCUGAACAAGCUGCGCUUUUGGUGGCACCCUGAUCUUCUGCGUAAGAAGUGAAGGAAACGCCAUAUGCCAGAGGCAUCAAGUUGGGUUGCUACUUAUGAUUCAGCACUAGAGCAGGGAGGACAAAGAGGAUUUUUCCAUCUGUCUGGCAAGUCAAUUUUGAGGUAUAUUUAUUUGCA
Molecule: long non-coding RNA, 260 nt
Organism: Phyllopteryx taeniolatus (common seadragon)
Lineage: Eukaryota; Metazoa; Chordata; Actinopteri; Syngnathiformes; Syngnathidae
Exons: 3
Source: RefSeq, a predicted model, not a curated record